GUCUACGACCAUAUCACGUUGAAAACACCGGUUCUCGCCCGAUCACCGAAGUUAAGCAACGUCGAGCCCGGUUAGUACUUGGAUGG
RNAcentral lists this ribosomal RNA (86 nucleotides) under Ensiculus cultellus. Lineage: Eukaryota; Metazoa; Mollusca; Bivalvia; Adapedonta; Pharidae. The record is from RNAcentral.